RNAcentral lists this long non-coding RNA (511 nucleotides) under Lupinus angustifolius (narrow-leaved blue lupine). RNAcentral's name for it is "long non-coding RNA (LANG_LNC001253)". The record is from RNAcentral. Lineage: Eukaryota; Viridiplantae; Streptophyta; Magnoliopsida; Fabales; Fabaceae.
AUAUCACACUUAUAUGUUUCUAUGUUCUCUCCUUCAAAUGCACAUAUCCUCCACUUUCUCAUGUUCUUUCUUCCUACUCCACAUUUGCUUCUAUGUUUACUCACUCACUUAAAUAUAUAUAUUUUUAAAAGGUAUGAUUUUCCUUAGCACUUCAUUUCAAUUUAUUGCUUUAACUUCAUCAUCCUUAAAUAUAUAUUUUUAAAAGGUAUGAUUUUCAUCAUAACUUUCUCAUUCUUGAUUUUUCAUUCAUUUUUUUGUUGAAAAUGACUCCUUUACAAUUGGUUUCAUGAGUAAUGACUUAGUCUCUCACCACUAAUUUUCAAUAUUUCCUUUUAAAUUUACGGGUUAUUACAUAUACUUUAUUCAUUAUGAGGUUUACUGGAUUUUCAUUUCUCUACCAUUUCCUUUGUCAUUUUGUGGUUUACUUGAUAAAUAAUUUGCAUCUUUUUAAAAAGGAGGUUAUAUUUGAAUGUUAUAUGAUUAAAGUCUAUACCAAAAUUGGAGGAUUACC